RNAcentral lists this ribosomal RNA (424 nucleotides) under uncultured bacterium. RNAcentral's name for it is "bacterial SSU rRNA". It matches the Rfam family "Bacterial small subunit ribosomal RNA", at positions 356 to 773 of the family's 1533-position model. The record is from RNAcentral.
AGGGAAUCUUCCGCAAUGGACGCAAGUCUGACGGAGCAACGCCGCGUGAGUGAUGAAGGUUUUCGGAUCGUAAAGCUCUGUUGCCAGGGAAGAACGCCAGGGAGAGUAACUGCUCCCUGGGUGACGGUACCUGAGAAGAAAGCCCCGGCUAACUACGUGCCAGCAGCCGCGGUAAUACGUAGGGGGCAAGCGUUGUCCGGAAUUAUUGGGCGUAAAGCGCGCGCAGGCGGUUAUUUAAGUUUGGUGUUUAAUCCCGGGGCUCAACCCCGGAUCGCACUGAAAACUGGAUGACUUGAGUGCGGGAGAGGAAAGUGGAAUUCCACGUGUAGCGGUGAAAUGCGUAGAGAUGUGGAGGAACACCAGUGGCGAAGGCGACUUUCUGGACCGUAACUGACGCUGAGGCGCGAAAGCGUGGGGAGCAAAC